CCUACGGGCGGCAGCAGUGAGGAAUAUUGGUCAAUGGACGAGAGUCUGAACCAGCCAAGUAGCGUGAAGGAUGACUGCCCUAUGGGUUGUAAACUUCUUUUAUAUGGGAAUAAAAUGUUCCACGUGUGUGAUUUUGUAUUUACCAUAUGAAUAAGGAUCGGCUAACUCCGUGCCAGCAGCCGCGGUAAUACGGAGGAUCCGAGCGUUAUCCGGAUUUAUUGGGUUUAAAGGGAGCGUAGGUGGAUUGUUAAGUCAGUUGUGAAAGUUUGCGGCUCAACCGUAAAAUUGCAGUUGAAACUGGCAGUCUUGAGUACAGUAGAGGUGGGCGGAAUUCGUGGUGUAGCGGUGAAAUGCUUAGAUAUCACGAAGAACUCCGAUUGCGAAGGCAGUUCACUGGACUGCAACUGACACUGAGGCUCGAAAGUGUGGGUAUCAAACAGGAUUAGAUACCCCGGUAGUC
This 460-nucleotide ribosomal RNA is filed under the name uncultured bacterium. RNAcentral describes it as "partial 16S ribosomal RNA". It matches the Rfam family "Bacterial small subunit ribosomal RNA", at positions 338 to 795 of the family's 1533-position model. The record is from RNAcentral.